Molecule: unclassified non-coding RNA, 211 nt
Filed under: rhizosphere metagenome
Description: partial ribosomal RNA internal transcribed spacer region
Source: RNAcentral
GUAGGUGAACCUGCGGAAGGAUCAUUAAUUUCGGUGGUUUUCCACUGUUAUGAGGGGGAUUUCGGUCCCUUCUCUCCUUCCUAGUCUUUUGAGUGCCCAAGUUUCUUUGGUAGGCUUGUCUGCCAUUGAUAAUCUAUAACCUUUUUAAUUUUAAAUCAGCGUCUGAAAACUUUAAUAAUUACAACUUUCAACAACGGAUCUCUUGGUUCUG